UGCAAUUCAGGUGUCAUCAUAACUUCAUUCUGCAUUCUUGUUUCUUUUGCUGCUGCUGCAGAGUUGGACACUUUCCGUCCAUCUGUUCUCCUCGUCGGAUCAGGUGUGACAGGCUCAAAUUGGGAUGAGACAAGUGUAGUUGAUGCAUCAGCAAUUGUUCUUGGUGGAGAAUUCAGAUCAAAGCAGAGCCUGGAAGAAAUUACAUUUUCACCUGCAAAGGAAAAUUCAUUAACAGGAUUGAGAAACUGAGGUUGGCGGGAUGCAACAAGGGCUUUGCAAUGAUAAGCGUGCAUAAGAUAAACUCUAGCACAAAGCUAUGUAAGGGAUUGUUGGGACCAAUUUGCUUGCAAUGGUUGUCGUUCUUGCGUCUCUGUGUAGAUUGGCUGAGCUUCCAAACCAGGCUUCGCAGGGGUGGAAGGAAUCCAAGAAUUCUCAAUUUGAGGGCCUUUGACAAUCACAGUAGAGUUCUCUACCGUUGCUUCCAUUCUGCAAGAGCAAAGCCCGGUAAUUUCUUAAUUUGUCAACACUUUGUUGUCAGUAAAUUCUAUUUCACUCACUUUGUUUGCAGAAAAUGCUAAAUAAAUAACUUGCGCGUAGGUUUGCAGAAGUUAGGUGGUCUUUCACCACGCUUAAAAUGUCUUCCUGCUAAAAUAUUUCAAACCCCAUAGGAAAAAUGUAAAACAAAAGGUAAAAAAAGUUUCUGAGAAGCAGAAAUUAACAUGCAGACCAUGUUUUUACAGAUACUUCCAUAUCUUACACAACAGCAUCCUUUAAAUUGUGAAACUCUGG
Non-coding RNA from Coffea arabica (coffee), 789 nucleotides. The record is from RefSeq and is a predicted model, not a curated record. NCBI's taxonomy places the organism in Eukaryota, Viridiplantae, Streptophyta, Magnoliopsida, Gentianales, Rubiaceae.